UCCAGACUCCUACGGGAGGCAGCAGUGAGGAAUAUUGGUCAAUGGCCGAGAGGCUGAACCAGCCAAGUCGCGUGAGGGAAGACGGCCCUACGGGUUGUAAACCUCUUUUGUCGGGGAGCAAAGCGAACCACGUGUGGUUCAUUGAGAGUACCCGAAGAAAAAGCAUCGGCUAACUCCGUGCCAGCAGCCGCGGUAAUACGGAGGAUGCGAGCGUUAUCCGGAUUUAUUGGGUUUAAAGGGUGCGUAGGCGGGCUGUUAAGUCAGCGGUCAAAUGUCGGGGCUCAACCCCGGCCUGCCGUUGAAACUGGCAGUCUCGAGUUGGAGAGAAGUAUGCGGAAUGCGCGGUGUAGCGGUGAAAUGCAUAGAUAUCGCGCAGAACUCCGAUUGCGAAGGCAGCAUGCCGGCUCCACACUGACGCUGAGGCACGAAAGCGUGGGUAUCGAACAGGAUUAGAUACCCUUGUAU
Molecule: ribosomal RNA, 465 nt
Filed under: uncultured bacterium
Lineage: Bacteria
Description: bacterial SSU rRNA
Rfam family: Bacterial small subunit ribosomal RNA
Source: RNAcentral